Long non-coding RNA from Gallus gallus (chicken), 2437 nucleotides. The record is from Ensembl. NCBI's taxonomy places the organism in Eukaryota, Metazoa, Chordata, Aves, Galliformes, Phasianidae.
AUCUAUCUGGAGAUCACUCCCUUUGGAGCUCUUCUGUGAGCCCAGGAUAUGGACAUCCUUAGCUCGUGUUCCUCGGUGGGAAGGAUGACAGUCACACGGGGCAUGGGGAGAAGUGUUAUGUGAGGCAUUUCUAGUGGAGACAGAAAGAAAUAGACACAAAAACGUGUGGCUGUGAAAGCGAUUCUGGCUGCGUUGCAUGCUGGCACUAAAGUGGAAACCAGCGUGGGCACCAUCUUCAGGCCCUGGAUGAAAGCUGAGCUGCUAAACACCAGCUCUGCAGCAUCACCCAAGGGUGCUCCUUUCUGCACACAGAACUCCUCAGCUGCUUUCACUCUGAACCUUGCUUAUGUUUGCCUUCUCUGCCUGCCCAAUUCUUCUGACAAGAACAACUGCAGUUCCCUCUACGGAGAAGGAUGGAACGCUGGUUUUUGCUCAGGUUUGAAUGAUAACCAGCAGCUAAUCAUCUCUGUUUGUGCCUACAUCCUUCUACCACAACCUCCAGCUACAUUAAAACAGAAUGUGGGGUGAUAGAGAGAGUCACAAGUGAUGCAAGUAGCUCAUGGUAAGCUAAGGGCAUAUUUGAGAGAUACUGAGGGAUGAACUGAAGCAAUUUGUUCUGGAGGUCCAGAGAUGGAUUUUUUUGUUAGAGGUGACUUUGGGAUCAUAGGAUUGCUUAGGUGCUUGUAAAGCACUUAGCAAGCAAAUCAAUGAGUUAUGUGAAACAGGCUGAGCUGCUACAAAAAAUGUGUACUCUAACUUAUAUACUCAGGUAAACUUUUGGAGAUCUCUGUGAUGCAUUGGUCAUUAAUAGUUAAUGUAUCACGUAUUAAAUAUUUCAUUCUGUAUAGUUCUUUAAUGGAAAAGUGAUGGAUUGUGUUGUCUACAAGAAUCCAUUUAUAAAGAUCUGGUCGAUUUCUCCUUUUGAAAAAUAUUUAUAUCCAAUUUGCAGGAGGUAAAAUGUAUUAUGAAGAGAUUGGUUGUGCAGAUGUGUUGCCUUCUAAACUAAAGAAAGACAGGUCAGUAUCAGCAAGCAGUAUUUGUACAGCAAAAGGGCAGUCGUGAAACUAGUGAAACUACCACCUCCAUCUUCAUCAUCUCCAUGAUCACUCUGAGUUUGAGCCACUGCUUCUACCUCUCAUGGCUGAUGAAGCAGUGAUUACAUGAGGACUUGCAUUAGCAUAGGCUGUAGUGCAAGGAAGAUUCAGAAACUACACAGUGUCCUUGUUCGUGCUGAGCAGUGCAGCCACAUCUCCGCACCUUUGGGACUUAAAGCCUCUGCUACUAUAGUGCUUGUGUCCUUAAGACUGGAGCCACUGAAGCAGACCAAGACAGAAGACAGGAGAGAAGAAACACUAUUAGAAAGUAGUGUUGUGCAAUCAUUCUCCUUUUUUUUUUUUGUGUAGUGAUGUCACUUGAAAACUGUGUCACAGUCUCUCCUGUUUUUGUCAUCUCAUGUGGCCACCACCUCCCUUUGUCCCAUGCACAAAUCCUGGUAUGUAUUAAAAGCGCUCUCUCUUAGUUUGUUUCUCAAGCCUCCCACUAUGUGACAGACCAUGAACACUUUCCUUUUCCUCUUCCAGUAGUUUAUGCUCUAAAUCCAGCAGAGAGCUUUCUUAGGUCUUUAAUAGCAAGCUUAAGGUUAAGCAUUUGUUUAAGCACGCUGCUAAACUGUGUUCUGCUGAAUCUCAGCCAAAAGAAAACAGAUGGGCUAAUUUACCCUGAUGUUCUUCUGUGAGCCUUCAGGAGAGCUGUAAGAGCAGCAGCAUUGAAAGGUGUGCUCCAGAGCAAGUGAGAAGCAUAGCUAAGCAAUUCCAGGCCAGGAGGUGGCUUUGAUUUCCCUAGCAGGCUACAGAUUUGGGGAUCAUACUUGCCCUUGUUACUGCUCCCGUUCCAAGGAAGAAUGCCACCCUCUGUGCAAGGAAGUGCCAUCCAACCUGUGAGGCUCCCUUUUAUCUACAAGGUCAAGGAACAGCAGUCUUUGCUGUUUGUCACCAAGAAACAGCUGUGGCUGGACUGCACUCAGUGAGUAGGACUUUUCUUUCUGAUGCAUCAUCCCAUCUCUGCUGUAGCAUGUUUGAAAUAGAAUUGUGCUCCUCUUCCAACAGCACUUCUGAUGAUUUGGAAGGAGCGCAAACUGUUGAUGUAUCCUUAAAAGCUGUUCCCUUUUACUAGUGAGUAGCUUGUAUAAUUUGCCAUGCUUUGGGAUUGAAAGAUUUCUGAGAUUGAUGUUAGCCCAUUAGAACUUGGUUUAAAAUAUUGACCAGUGUCCAUCACUGAAGAAACAACGUGAUAAGUUUAAGCCUUUGAAAUACAUCACAUACUUGAAGUAUUAAAUAGUUGGCUAUGUAACAUAUUAGUGGGGGAAAAAAUAUUCUUGUUAGCUUAGGAGCAGAGAUUUGUGGAGCUAUGUUUUUAAAGGAAAUAAAUAACGUUGCUC